GGCAGACGGGUGAGUAAUGCAUAGGAAUCUGCCUAGUAGUAUGGGAUAGCCACUAGAAAUGGUGGGUAAUACUGUAUAAUCCCUGCGGGGGAAAGAUUUAUCGCUACUGGAUGAGCCUAUGUUAGAUUAGCUAGUUGGUGGGGUAAUGGCCUACCAAGGCUGUGAUCUAUAGCUGGUCUGAGAGGAUGAUCAGCCACACUGGAACUGAGACACGGUCCAGACUCCUACGGGAGGCAGCAGUGGGGAAUAUUGGACAAUGGGCGCAAGCCUGAUCCAGCUAUGCCGCGUGAGUGAGGAAGGCCUUAGGGUUGUAAAACUCUUUCAGCAGGGAAGAUAAUGACGGUACCUGCAGAAGAAGUCCCGGCAAACUCCGUGCCAGCAGCCGCGGUAAUACGGAGGGGGCAAGCGUUGUUCGGAAUUAUUGGGCGUAAAGGGCAUGUAGGCGGUUUGGUAAGUUAAAGGUGAAAUGCCA
RNAcentral lists this ribosomal RNA (472 nucleotides) under Candidatus Anaplasma amazonensis. RNAcentral's name for it is "partial 16S ribosomal RNA". It matches the Rfam family "Bacterial small subunit ribosomal RNA", at positions 97 to 604 of the family's 1533-position model. The record is from RNAcentral. RNAcentral also lists the same sequence under 1 other name. Lineage: Bacteria; Pseudomonadati; Pseudomonadota; Alphaproteobacteria; Rickettsiales; Anaplasmataceae.